UACGUAGGGAGCAAGCGUUGUCCGGAAUCAUUGGGCGUAAAGCGCGCGUAGGUGGCCCCGUAAGUCCGCUGUGAAAGUCAAAGGCUCAACCUUUGAAAGCCGGUGGAUACUGUGGGACUAGAGUACGGAAGAGGCGAGUGGAAUUCCUGGUGUAGCGGUGGAAUGCGCAGAUAUCAGGAGGAACACCAAUAGCGAAGGCAGCUCGCUGGGACGUUACUGACGCUGAGACGCGAAAGCGUGGGGAGCAAACAGG
This 253-nucleotide ribosomal RNA is filed under the name uncultured bacterium. Its description in RNAcentral is "partial 16S ribosomal RNA". It matches the Rfam family "Bacterial small subunit ribosomal RNA", at positions 524 to 776 of the family's 1533-position model. The record is from RNAcentral.